RNAcentral lists this unclassified non-coding RNA (2972 nucleotides) under Dimorphilus gyrociliatus. RNAcentral's name for it is "iPPc domain-containing protein". The record is from RNAcentral. Lineage: Eukaryota; Metazoa; Annelida; Polychaeta; Dinophilidae.
UAUAUAUGUAUGAAAAAAUUCAAAGUAUUUACUUGUUGAAAACAAUGUUCAAGUUUUGGUUAUCAAAACGAUAAACAAUACUUUUGUAUGUUUUAUAUGAAUAAAAGCAGAAAAAGAAUUGAUUCUACAGUGAAAAUAUGCACAGUUUUUUAAGCGUUUAAAUAAAUGUUGAAACAAUUGUGAAUCCAAUUCAUUAAUGCCUUGUUUACAUGUGACAGUAAAAGUUUUGUUGUGUUCAACUUCUUGUCUAAAUAAAACACGUCUAAGUAUUGAUUUUUUUGUUCUGGAUGUAUUACUAUAGUUUUUUUUAUAUAUUAGACGCUUUCUCACGAUAGACGUCGCUUAGAACCGAUAGUAAUAUUAAUUUCGGUAAAAAGAGAACCAGUUUAAUCCACAAAGCAUUAUAUUAUCGCUCAACUCUGUUGAACAUUCCAUGAUAAUUCUUUCUCUUAAAAAGCUUUAACAAAAAUAAUCAUUUAAAAAAAAAUCGUACUAGAUUAUGAAUGACAAUUGGCAGACAUUGGUUAUAUUAAAUUAAAGGAUCUUUAAACAAUUAUCUAAAAACACGCAUAUAGCAGAAGAAGAGGAAAAAUAUUUACAUAUCUUUUACAAUUUUAAGUGAUCAGCAUAAAAAUGGCAUCUAGUUUUUAUGUUCCAACUCAAGCAAGAGAUAGUUCUGCUGUUCAAAAAUUGCUCAAGGAUGGUGACUUAUGCGAUUUGGCUAUUCGAUGUCCAGUUAUGAUGAUAAAUGAAUUAGAAAAGACCACAAAAGUUGUUGCUUUAGUUAAGCAUACAGUUUCUGAAGAUUAUAACGGAUUUCCAACAACAACUGGUAACAAUUUUGAAUAUGGGUAUGAUAUAAAUUUCUUAAUAAUAUAUAAUUAAUAUAUAUCCUGUCAUUAAUAUUAACUAUUAUCUAGCUUAUUUAAUUAUUGUGGUUAUUUUAUUAAAGAAAGCUCUUGAAUUGAUUAUAGACAAAACAAUAUCUCUUCCUUGUAGAAUAUUUCUGUAUAAAGACUGCAAUAGGCCACCAAAAGAACCAAAUUUAAAUUUAGACGAUACCAUAGCAAUAAACGAUCAAUUUACACUAAAUAUUCGUAAGUAUGCAUGGUCUAAAUACUCUAAAAUGUGUCGUCUAUUAACUAUACUGUAUUACAGAGCAUACUGCUGACAAGAGGUCAACAAAGAAACUGUUACAAGGGAUGGGUAAUAAGUCACCUCCGAAAGAUUACGUUUCCGUCCAAUUAUCAAAUUCCGAUGAUAAAUGCAUACUGGAAAUUCCAAAGUCAUUAAGCGAUUCAUUCUUCAAUCAUUUGAAAAAAGCAAGAGAAUUUCAAAAUAAGGCACAGUGUAAAUGGAUAACGAAUAGCUAUAUUAAUAUAUUUCCAAUGGAUAAAUUCGAAGUUGCAACUGAGGCAACCGAAAAGCUUUGCACUGAAGAUGCUUGGCCUAAUUGUGACGGUGGUGAUGAGAGCGCUCUGUUAGAUGACGAUAAGUUUAAAAUGGAUCAUUUUGGCGAUACUGACUCUACUGAAAGAGAUGUUAGAGAAAAAAUAAAGAGAACGUUAAUAAAAGAAAGACAAUCUGAAUAUACUACAAAAUCCGGGAUUAGGGUAUUUUGUGGUACUUGGAAUGUUAACGGUCAAUUGCCGAACGAAGAGACUUAUCCCCUUGAUGCUUGGCUACAUCUGGACGAAGCUGCUGAUAUUUACGCUAUUGGAUUCCAAGAAUUGAAUUUAAAUGUUACAGCUCAUAUCGUAAACGAUCCAUUAAAGGAAGGUAAAUGGAAGAAAUACAUAGAAGAUUUCUUCAAAAAUAAUCGUGUUACAAAAAAUAUCAAAUUUGAAAUGGUCUCAUCAAUAAAACUUGUUGGAAUAUUACUAAUAGUUUACGCAAAUAAAAAACUUAUGUCUAAAAUAACUGAUGUUAGACAACAUAGUUACGCCACUGGUAUAGCUGGAAUAUUGGGAAAUAAAGGUGGUGUUGCAGUUGGAUGCAAAGUCUAUGAGACGAGUAUAUGUUUUGUUAAUUGCCAUUUGGCUGCUCAUCAGGAAUAUUUUGAGGAAAGGAAUAAACAGUUCCAAUAUAUCUAUAAACGUUUAGAACUGCCGCCAACUAAAGAUUCGCAAUAUCCAGAAACGCUUUUGAUCGAUAGUUACAACACAUUAUUUUGGCUGGGCGAUUUAAAUUAUCGCAUAAAUGAGAGCUACGAGUACGUUGUUGAGUUGGUUGAUAUUGAUGCUGAAAAUGUAUAUGAUACACUGAGGAAAUCUGAUCAGCUAUACAUACAAAGAAAGGCAAGGAAUGCAUUUGCUGAUUUUCACGAAGCUGAAAUUUGCUUUGCACCAACUUAUAAAUAUGAUCCCGGAACUGAUAGAUUUGACUCAAGCCAUCCUGCCCUGAAGUUGAGUGAUCAUAAGCCGGUAUCCUGUUUAGCCUCAACUGAAGUGAGCGAAAUUGACGAGAAGGCAUAUAAGAGAGUUUACAAAGAUGUUCAAAGUACAUUAGAUCUUAGAGAGAAUGAAAUGCUUCCAAAAUGCAUUUUAAGCUGCCAAGAGAUUGAUUUUUCAACUCUCGUUGUCGGAGAGGAGUACAAAGAAACUUUAACAUUGCACAACGACGGACAAUCAACGUUCAGUUAUAAGUUUAAAGAUCAUCUUGAAAGCAAAAAGUGUUGUCCUGAUUGGAUCAGUAUCCAUCCAAAAACAGGAGAUGUUCCCAAAGGACGGAAAACAGAGAUUGAAAUAUCUGUAAAUGUCGGAUAUAAUCAUAUGACGCAAUUUUAUGAAAAAUAUGGAAAGUUUUAUAUGGAGGAGGUAUUAAUUUUGGAUUUGGUCAAAGGAUCUGACAAGUUCAUAACUGUCAAAGGCGAAUUAACACCUUCCGCAUUUGGUCUUAGCUUAGACAUUUUAUGCAGAAUGAAUUUUAGAGCAGUUGCUUUGGAGAGUGAAAGGCUAAAAGAAUUGAGAUAG